UUUUUUUAAAGAUUCUGUUCAUGUAAAAGAAUUUCAUAAUAAUGUUUUUUCUUAAAAAUUCAUAACGUUUUUUGAAAUAGCAUGUUUUUAAACUAAAUAUAACAUGUGAAAUUUUAAUGUUACAUACUAUUUUGAAAAAUUACACGGAUGUGUUUCGUUUACUGUUCAUCUUACAACAAAUGAAGGGUAGCUUUGUUAUUUCCUUUCUUCAGACAAUGUGGAUCCAUGGUUAUUUUGUAACAAAAAACUUUCUCUCUGCUAGUUUCUUAAUUUGUAUGUUUUAUUUGGUUAUCUACUAAUAUUACUCUAUAAUCUACUACUAAUAAAAAUAACUCUUUGAGACCUGUCAAAGUAUCCACUUCAGCAAAUAAGAGUUUCUCUUAAAUCUUGCCACAUCAGUCAUCCAAAAUUUU
This 413-nucleotide small RNA is filed under the name Arabidopsis thaliana (thale cress). RNAcentral's name for it is "ATSL081640". The record is from RNAcentral. Lineage: Eukaryota; Viridiplantae; Streptophyta; Magnoliopsida; Brassicales; Brassicaceae.